GUCACAUGACUGCACAUCCGCUCUGCUCUGUGACUGUUGCUGUUGCUGUUUGGCUGCUAUGACGACGGAGUUUGAAUAAAGUUGGAUGAAUGGCUACAAGGAAGAAGAAGAAGAAGCUUUCCUCCUCUAAAAUGCAUCAAAAGUCUCUGAAAUGCACCGUGUACCUGGACAUCCAGUCAGUCACAUGUCCAGGAGUGCUCCUGACUAAAAACAACCGCAUCUACCUCAGUGUGUGCAUCCUGGGCCAGUACAGGAAGACUCCCUGUUUAUCACCUACGUUCCCUUUACUCUUCCACCACAAAAUGAUGUUUGUCAAGACUUUCCCCGGCGUUGUUGACCCUGCUGAUGUAGCUGACCUCCUGGAAGCUGACACAACAUAUUUUGAGCUGAUUCAGUUGGUGCCUCCAGAGGGUGAGAUCCUCGCCACAAUGGAGGAGAGCAGCAGAGACUUCCUGUACCCCGGUCCCAGACUGAGCUCCAGAGAAAGAGCUGCAGAGAGAGAUAUACUGAUGAAGAGAUCCUCCUCCUUUCCUGGAAUCUACCCCAAAGUUGAGUUUGCCACAACAUCAGUCAUAGAAGAGAGUGAUGGGAGAGACAGCUGGCAUGCCUCGCCUACUCGCUCUCCUUCUCCAGUGAGGCCCUCUUUAACCCCAUCCAGACAGAGGUCAGCCAAAACGUCUUCGCCAUCCAGAGGGCAUUUUUCCCAAAAAGAUGAUGCGAACCGUGCGUCUUGGAAAGAUGGGAAGGAAAGGCUAAAUGUUGAGACUGGGAUUACGAACUCUGCACCGUCCUCCACAUCCAGACGCUCCCCUUCUUCAUCCCCAUCUGGCCGGAGUCCCCGGAAAAACAAGAAGGAGAGAAAACCAGCUUCUCCUAGAGGUUCUUUACACUCUGGCUACCAGCAGCCCACAGUUUCCUCAAGGACACGAGCCUUGUCCCCUUACACCCACCGCAAGAUGUGCCAGCUUUCAGAGGACGCCAGGCAGAGGCUCAGCCAUCUCCAGCUGGGGCCUCACCACUUCAGGAAGGAGACUGAGAGCCAGCCGCCCUUCUUGGUCUCUCAUUGCAGUAAUGCCUCUGUGAUGGGAACUCCUUCCUCCUCUCCACAGAAAGAUAGCAUGCAUCGACACUCAGUCAGCUUCACAGCCGAUCACACAGAUUCUUCUCUCCUGGGGAGUUACAGACCAAGAACAACCACAGUGAAGACGGGUUCCAUGAGGGUCCAGUCGUCUCCAGAGACACCGUCCAGACUUGAGGCCAAGACCAAAAGCCCUGUGAGAGGUGCUGCCUCAGCUCAGUCCACCCUGACUGUGUCAAACUCCAGAAGUCCUCUGAAUCUCAGCCAUUCCCUCAGAGAAAGGCUCCGGAACAGUCAGCCCAGUCCAUCCUACUGCGAGCAGAUCCACCGCCGAGUCAAGAGGAUUCUGCAGACACACAGCCACCUGGGACCACUAAGUGACCUUUGACCUUUAACUUCCUCAUCUAAACACAAGGUGACCAAACAACUGAGGUUACACUACAAAGGCUAUUCACUGCUCCUUGUGCCGCUUUCUCUGUAACAAUUUGCUGGUACUUCUUUUUGUUGUUCCUGGUAAGACGAGAGGAAAGUACAUUUUAUAUGUCUGCAGUAAUGGAAUACUGGAGAGUGAGAUAGAGUAAUGGAGAGAGAGUGAUAUAGAUAGAAAGUGAGUGAUAAAGUGAGAGAGAGAGUGAGAGAUAUAUAUAUAGAGAGAGAGAGAGCUGCUUUGUCAAUUUGUCACUCAUCAGUACUAUGUACUCCUGACAAUAUACUGCAGAGCAAACUAAUAUACCCACACAGGUUAGCAAGCUGUGGUGUUACAGUGCAUUCUGUAACCUGAUGAGAAAUGUUUAUCAUGGUCACAUACUGUAUUUUGAUAGCCGUCAUAAAUAUUGUGAUAUAAUGGAUUUAAAAAUACGGUGCCCAGUAUAUAGAUUUGUCUGUCUCACAUCACUAACACCUCACCUGUCAAUAUUUGGUCAAACCAUCAGUCUAUAUUUCAUGGUUGAAUCACUGUGACAUAAUAAAGCCACACUCAGUGAAA
Sebastes umbrosus (honeycomb rockfish) is the source of this 2063-nucleotide RNA transcript. It is a transcript of the gene named spermatogenesis associated 6, with no coding region annotated. The record is from RefSeq and is a predicted model, not a curated record. The transcript is spliced from 12 exons. NCBI's taxonomy places the organism in Eukaryota, Metazoa, Chordata, Actinopteri, Perciformes, Sebastidae.